AAGUCGUAACAAGGUUUCCGUAGGUGAACCUGCGGAAGGAUCAUUAACAAAUCUACACAAACCAUGUGUCACCGUGUCGUUCCUGGAUGGGGAGCCAGGAACAGCAAAAACACACUGUCAGAGCAUGCAAAUGUAACAUUAACAACUUUUAACAAUGGAUCUCUAGGCUCUU
Molecule: unclassified non-coding RNA, 172 nt
Filed under: fungal sp.
Lineage: Eukaryota; Fungi
Description: partial internal transcribed spacer region
Rfam family: Eukaryotic small subunit ribosomal RNA (bases 1-46)
Source: RNAcentral